CAGCAGCCGCGGUAAUACGAAGGGGGCUAGCGUUGCUCGGAAUUACUGGGCGUAAAGGGAGCGUAGGCGGACAUUUAAGUCAGGGGUGAAAUCCCAGAGCUCAACUCUGGAACUGCCUUUGAUACUGGGUGUCUUGAGUGUGAUAGAGGUAUGUGGGACUCCGAGUGUAGGGGUGAAAUUCGUAGAUAUUCGGAAGAACACCAGUGGCGAAGGCGACAUACUGGAUCAUUACCGACGCUGAGGCUCGAAAGCGUGGGGAGCAAACAGGAUUAGAUACCCCUGUAGUCCCUGUCUCUUAUAC
Molecule: ribosomal RNA, 301 nt
Filed under: uncultured bacterium
Lineage: Bacteria
Description: partial 16S ribosomal RNA
Rfam family: Bacterial small subunit ribosomal RNA
Source: RNAcentral